This 253-nucleotide ribosomal RNA is filed under the name uncultured bacterium. Its description in RNAcentral is "partial 16S ribosomal RNA". It matches the Rfam family "Bacterial small subunit ribosomal RNA", at positions 524 to 776 of the family's 1533-position model. The record is from RNAcentral.
UACGUAGGGUGCAAGCGUUGUCCGGAAUUAUUGGGCGUAAAGAGCUCGCAGGCGGUCUGUCGCGUCGGCUGUGAAAUCCCGAGGCUCAACCUCGGGUCUGCAGUCGAUACGGGCAAACUGGAGUGUUGCAGGGGAGACUGGAAUUCCUGGUGUAGCGGUGAAAUGCGCAGAUAUCAGGAGGAACACCGGUGGCGAAGGCGGGUCUCUGGGCAACAACUGACGCUGAGGAGCGAAAGCGUGGGGAGCGAACAGG